AUUUACAAGGGAAAAUAGCUCACUUUUGGUACUAUGCUUUGAUCCUAGUAUAGAAGAGAAAAUAAUUUUAAGUAACAAGUCUUUGGAGGGAAAGACAUCUCUAUCUUUUUUUAUGUCAGAUUUUGUUGUCACUUUUGUGUUAGUUGUGCGUCUCACUCUUCAUUGAUAGCUCCACAGCUCUCCUCGCAGAGCGAUUCUUCCUGCACAUCAGUCCGUACCUCUUUUUUUUUAUAUAUAUUUUCAACUGUAUCCUUGUGAGACACUAAAUGACUCUCCACAUCAAACACUACUCUUUCUUCCUACGCCGCAUUU
RNAcentral lists this long non-coding RNA (312 nucleotides) under Vigna radiata. RNAcentral's name for it is "long non-coding RNA (VRAD_LNC016525)". Lineage: Eukaryota; Viridiplantae; Streptophyta; Magnoliopsida; Fabales; Fabaceae. The record is from RNAcentral.